UAAAAGACGUAAGCCGAGAGCCACACUAUGAAAGUCGUAAGCCGAGAGCCAGACUGAGAGUCAUAAGCUAGGGUAAGCUUGGUGCUACCUCUUUAUUUUUUUUUAUUAUUUGCUUAUGAAGAAUUGUGAUUGAGGGAAGUAUUGUUGAAUUGAUAAUCAUAGAAUAGAUUAUAGGUUAAAUUAAGAUAGAAGUAGUAAGCCUUGAUGUUUUGUAGUUUGAUAAUUGAUUUCAAAUAGUGAGAGUACAGUCAAUUGUGACACUAACAGACCUAAUUCAUAUAACCAGUCUUUCUUCAUGUUCAAACCCACUUCUAUUAAUUCAAUUGCUUUGGUCUAUUGAAGCUUGAAUGCAACGAGAA
This 359-nucleotide long non-coding RNA is filed under the name Physcomitrium patens. Its description in RNAcentral is "long non-coding RNA (PPAT_LNC006619)". Lineage: Eukaryota; Viridiplantae; Streptophyta; Bryopsida; Funariales; Funariaceae. The record is from RNAcentral.